GACGAACCGUGCGAACGUUAUUCGGAAUCAUUGGGCUUAAAGGGUGCGUAGGCGGGCUCGUGAGUCAGGGGUGAAAUCCCACGGCCCAACCGUGGAAGUGCCUCUGAUACCGCGGGCCUCGAGGGGGAUAGGGGCGUGCGGAACUUCCGGUGGAGCGGUGAAAUUCGUAGAUAUUCGGAAGAACACCAGUGGCGAAGGCGGCUCACUGGACCGGCAUUGACGCUGAGGUGCGAAAGCGUGGGGAGCAAACAGG
Molecule: ribosomal RNA, 253 nt
Filed under: uncultured bacterium
Lineage: Bacteria
Description: partial 16S ribosomal RNA
Rfam family: Bacterial small subunit ribosomal RNA
Source: RNAcentral